This is a non-coding RNA of Aegilops tauschii subsp. strangulata, 682 nucleotides long. The record is from RefSeq and is a predicted model, not a curated record. NCBI's taxonomy places the organism in Eukaryota, Viridiplantae, Streptophyta, Magnoliopsida, Poales, Poaceae.
CCUAGCUACCUCCCCGACCAGUCAACCGAGCUCCAGAGUCCCUCAUUCCUCCUCCAUGGCCGCCAUGUCCGCCUCGGGUUCGGCCUAAAUUGGCUCAAGCCCGACCUUCUCCCUCCACUCUACCACCACCAGAGGAUUCCCCGUAGUCCGGCGCCCCUCCCGCACCCCUCAGUUCGGCGCCGGAGUGCUCGUAGCCGCGAGUUCCCUAGUCCGGCCGCCGUCAUGGGUUCUCUGCCACCACGCGGUGCUACGGCCACACCCCUCCCCGGCGCCUGCUUCUGCUCCAGGCGGGAGCAGCUCGUCUUCCCGAUCUCGCCGGUGUGCUGGGCCUCGCCGGAGACGUCCCAGGUCGCCGGAACGGGCGCCGGCAGCCGCGGUCGUCCUCUGCCUUCGCGGGCGAGCGGGAGGUAGGGGAAGGAGACGAGGCCAGGCGGGCCCCCUCCUUUCCCCGACCCCACCUGGCAGCCACUCCGGCGCUGACCCGGCCCUAUCCACAUGGAUAAGUGGCGGGCCCCGCCUGCCUUGUUUGAAAAUAUUUUCAUUACAGAUAGGCCCCUGGCAGAAAAACCUUAAUAUCUUUUUGCCGGUAGCUCCAAAUCAGCCCCCUUCGAGAGAGAACGUUUUCCGGCGAUUCGUUCCGCGAGCUUCUCACAUUUUCUCCCGGUGAUUUCUUCCACCCCAG